GAUGAACGCUAGCGGCAGGCCUAACACAUGCAAGUCGAGGGGCAGCACAGAAACAGCAAUGUUUUGGUGGCGACCGGCGGACGGGUGCGUAACGCGUAUGCAACCUACCUUUAACAGGGGGAUAACGGAGAGAAAUUUCCACUAAUACCCCAUAACAUCUAUCAAGGCAUCUUGAUUGGUUGAAAACUCCGGUGGUUAAAGAUGGGCAUGCGUUGUAUUAGGUAGUUGGUGAGGUAAUGGCUCACCAAGCCUACGAUACAUAGGGGGACUGAGGGGUUAGCCCCCCACACUGGUACUGAGACACGGACCAGACUCCUACGGGAGGCAGCAGUGGGGAAUAUUGGUCAAUGGGGGCAACCCUGAACCAGCCAUGCCGCGUGCAGGAAGACGGCUCUAUGAGUUGUAAACUGCUUUUAAACAGGGAUAAAGCACAGUAUGUAUACUGUGCUGAAGGUACUGUAAGAAUAAGGAUCGGCUAACUCCGUGCCAGCCGCCGCGGUAA
This 502-nucleotide ribosomal RNA is filed under the name uncultured bacterium. RNAcentral describes it as "partial 16S ribosomal RNA". It matches the Rfam family "Bacterial small subunit ribosomal RNA", at positions 28 to 523 of the family's 1533-position model. The record is from RNAcentral.